GUGGGGAAUAUUGCACAAUGGGGGGAACCCUGAUGCAGCGACGCCGCGUGAGUGAAGAAGUAUUUCGGUACGUAAAGCUCUAUCAGCAAGGAAGAAAAUGAAGGUACUUGACUAAGAAGCCCCGGCUAACUACGUGCCAGCAGCCGCGGUAAUAAGUAGGGGGCAAGCGUUAUCCGGAUUUACUGGGUGUAAAGGGAGCGUAGACGGUAUGGUAAGUCAGAUGUGAAAGCCCGGGGCUCAAACCCGGGACUGCAUUUGAAACUAUCAGACUAGAGUGCAGGAGAGGUAAGUGGAAUUCCUAGUGUAGCGGUGAAAUGCGUAGAUAUUAGGAGGAACACCAGUGGCGAAGGCGGCUUACUGGACUGUAACUGACGUUGAGGCUCGAAAGCGUGGGGAGCAAACAGGAUUAGAUACCCCUGUAGUCC
This 425-nucleotide ribosomal RNA is filed under the name uncultured bacterium. RNAcentral describes it as "partial 16S ribosomal RNA". It matches the Rfam family "Bacterial small subunit ribosomal RNA", at positions 354 to 796 of the family's 1533-position model. The record is from RNAcentral.